GACGAACGCUGGCGGCGUGCCUAACACAUGCAAGUCGAACGGAAAGGCCCUGCGUUUGUGCGGUUAUCGAUUGCCGAACGCGGGCGUGACACGUGAGUAACCUGCCCUUGUCUUUCGGGUAACUUCACGAAACUGGGGCUAAUACCGGAUAGCAUCUCCUGCACCGUGGUGGGGAGUGGAAAGUUUCGGCUGGUGGGGAUGGACGGGCGGCUUAUGGGCUUGCUGGUGGGGUAGUGGCUUACCAAGGCUUUGAAGGGUAGCCGGCCUGGGAGGGUGACCGGGGACCAUGGGACUGAGGGAGGGACCAGACGGCUACGGGAGGCAGCAGUGGGGAAUAUGACACAAUGGGCGGAAGCCUGUGACAGCAACGUUGGGUGCGGGAAGACGGCCUUUGGGUUGAGAACCGCUGUCGCCUGUUACGAAGCGGUAGUGACGGUAAUGAGUAAAGAAGCACCGGCUAACUACGUG
Molecule: ribosomal RNA, 468 nt
Filed under: uncultured bacterium
Lineage: Bacteria
Description: partial 16S ribosomal RNA
Rfam family: Bacterial small subunit ribosomal RNA
Source: RNAcentral